Molecule: unclassified non-coding RNA, 152 nt
Filed under: uncultured Mortierella
Lineage: Eukaryota; Fungi; Mortierellomycota; Mortierellomycetes; Mortierellales; Mortierellaceae
Description: sequence contains ITS1
Source: RNAcentral
UAAUAAGUGUUUUAUGGCACUUUUUAAAUCCAUAUCCACCUUGUGUGCAAUGUCAGGGUUGAUUUCUCUCUCGGGAGAGAUCAGCCCCAAACAUCAACUAUUAUCUCAACUCUUUGUCUGAAAAAUAUUAUGAAUAAAAACAAUUCAAAAUA